Molecule: ribosomal RNA, 967 nt
Filed under: metagenome
Description: bacterial LSU rRNA
Rfam family: Bacterial large subunit ribosomal RNA
Source: RNAcentral
ACCAUCCUAAGGUAGCGAAAUUCCUUGUCGGGUAAGUUCCGACCUGCACGAAUGGCGUAACGACUUCUCUGCUGUCUCAACCACAGGCCCGGCGAAAUUGCAGUACGAGUAAAGAUGCUCGUUACGCGCGGCAGGACGAAAAGACCCCGGGACCUUCACUAUAGCUUGGUAUUGGUGUUUGGUUCGGUUUGUGUAGGAUAGGUGGGAGACUGUGAAGCGGCCACGCUAGUGGUGGUGGAGUCGUUGGUGAAAUACCACUCUGAUCGUAUUGAGCAUCUCAACCUCGGCCCAUGAUCUGGGUUAGGGACAGUGCCUGGUGGGUAGUUUAACUGGGGCGGUUGCCUCCUAAAUGGUAACGGAGGCGCCCAAAGGUUCCCUCAGCCUGGUUGGCAAUCAGGUGGUGAGUGUAAGUGCAUAAGGGAGCUUGACUGUGAGACUGACGGGUCGAGCAGGAACGAAAGUUGGGACUAGUGAUCCGGCACUGGCUUGUGGAUGCGGUGUCGCUCAACGGAUAAAAGGUACCCCGGGGAUAACAGGCUGAUCUUCCCCAAGAGUCCAUAUCGACGGGAUGGUUUGGCACCUCGAUGUCGGCUCGUCGCAUCCUGGGGCUGGAGUAGGUCCCAAGGGUUGGGCUGUUCGCCCAUUAAAGCGGCACGCGAGCUGGGUUUAGAACGUCGUGAGACAGUUCGGUCUCUAUCCGCCGCGCGCGUGGAAACUUGAGAAAGGCUGUCCCUAGUACGAGAGGACCGGGACGGACGUACCUCUGGUGUGCCAGUUGUUUUGCCUGGGGCAGGGCUGGUUGGCUACGUACGGGAGGGAUAACCGCUGAAAGCAUCUAAGCGGGAAGCCUGUUUCAUGAUGAGGUUUCUUUUGAGGUUCCCCAGAGAUGAUGGGGUUGAUAGGCCGGAUCUGUAAGCACAGUGAUGUGUUGAGGUGACCGGUACUAAUUGACCGAACUAAACAACAA